GGCGCAGUGGCGGAGUGGUCUAACGCGUGAGACUUGAAAUCUCAUUCCCUUGGGAGCGUCUGUUCGAAUCAGGCCUGCGUCG
RNAcentral lists this transfer RNA (82 nucleotides) under Phaeoacremonium minimum UCRPA7. RNAcentral's name for it is "tRNA-Ser (TGA) (tRNA-Ser-TGA-2-1)". It matches the Rfam family "tRNA". Rfam says of the family: Transfer RNA (tRNA) molecules are approximately 80 nucleotides in length. Their secondary structure includes four short double-helical elements and three loops (D, anti-codon, and T loops). Lineage: Eukaryota; Fungi; Ascomycota; Sordariomycetes; Togniniales; Togniniaceae. The record is from Rfam by way of RNAcentral.